RNAcentral lists this ribosomal RNA (253 nucleotides) under uncultured bacterium. RNAcentral describes it as "partial 16S ribosomal RNA". It matches the Rfam family "Bacterial small subunit ribosomal RNA", at positions 524 to 776 of the family's 1533-position model. The record is from RNAcentral.
GACGAACCGUGCGAACGUUGUUCGGAUUCACUGGGCUUAAAGGGCGCGUAGGCGGGCGAUCAAGUCAGGGGUGAAAUCUUUCGGCUCAACCGGAAAAGUGCCCCUGAUACUGAUUGUCUUGAGGGAGGUAGGGGCAUGUGGAACUUCCGGUGGAGCGGUGAAAUGCGUAGAUAUCGGAAGGAACGCCGGUGGCGAAAGCGACGUGCUGGAUCUCUUCUGACGCUGAGGCGCGAAAGCCAGGGGAGCGAACGGG